CGGUCUGUCAAGUCGGAUGUGAAAUCCCCGGGCUCAACCUGGGAACUGCAUUCGAAACUGGCAGGCUUGAGUCUUGUAGAGGGGGGUAGAAUUCCAGGUGUAGCGGUGAAAUGCGUAGAGAUCUGGAGGAAUACCGGUGGCGAAGGCGGCCCCCUGGACAAAGACUGACGCUCAGGUGCGAAAGCGUGGGGAGCAAACAGGAUUAGAUACCCUGGUAGUCCACGCCGUAAACGAUGUCUACUUGGAGGUUGUGCCCUUGAGGCGUGGCUUCCGGAGCUAACGCGUUAAGUAGACCGCCUGGGGAGUACGGCCGCAAGGUUAAAACUCAAAUGAAUUGACGGGGGCCCGCACAAGCGGUGGAGCAUGUGGUUUAAUUCGAUGCAACGCGAAGAACCUUACCUGGUCUUGACAUCCACAGAAGAAUCCAGAGAUGGAUUUGUGCCUUCGGGAACUGUGAGACAGGUGCUGCAUGGCUGUCGUCAGCUCG
RNAcentral lists this ribosomal RNA (487 nucleotides) under Salmonella enterica. Its description in RNAcentral is "bacterial SSU rRNA". It matches the Rfam family "Bacterial small subunit ribosomal RNA", at positions 576 to 1062 of the family's 1533-position model. Lineage: Bacteria; Pseudomonadati; Pseudomonadota; Gammaproteobacteria; Enterobacterales; Enterobacteriaceae. The record is from RNAcentral.